RNAcentral lists this long non-coding RNA (288 nucleotides) under Elaeis guineensis (African oil palm). RNAcentral's name for it is "long non-coding RNA (EGUI_LNC075743)". Lineage: Eukaryota; Viridiplantae; Streptophyta; Magnoliopsida; Arecales; Arecaceae. The record is from RNAcentral.
AUUGGGAGACAAAAGCGCCAUGACUCAAAUUAGUGCAAGAAGAUAAAAGAGAAGGAAAAGAAUGCAGAAGAAAAAAAAAGGGGGGCUCUCUAUAAAGAAGAAUCUGAUUUUAUUGAUUAAAUAAUUUUUAAGUACAAGAGAACAAAGAAAAGUCAUCACAAAGAAAAAAUACAAAACUAGAGGUUUCGGACCUCUAGGGCAGAAGUGAAGGGGCUCGGUGCUCCAAGAAGGUCAGUAGCUACGGCUGCAGCGAUCGAAGAGGUCCCGACUGGAGGAGGACCGACAGCG